GGCCUAGGCCUCUGACUGAGUAGAGGGGGAGGCGGCCUUUGGGGGAAAUGCAGGGUGGGCUGGGGGCUCUUCCAGUGAAGAGGAAAGUGCUCUGGAAGCAGAGAGCCCUGAGUUCAACCUGCUUCUGCUCUUUGUGGGCCGUGUGGAUUCAGGCCAGUUCGUGCAUCUCCCCGAACCUCGGUUUUCCCAGCAGAGGGAGUCCUGGCCCCCUGUGCUCCUGUGGAUGAGAAGCAUCGCCUCCGGUUACCCAGCCUUAGCGACGUGCCCAGUGCUUGAACUGGACCGUCUUCUGUAAUAAGACAGUUUCUAAAGGCCCAGCUGAGCAGCUCACCCUGGGCGACACUCCGUCAGGGCCAUGUCCCCUUAGAGCCGGGCAGCGACUGAUUCCCGAAGCAGCCGCGAGCCUUCCAUCCCGCCUCGGUGCCCCAUGCGCCAGGGCUUGGCAGGCCCUCAGCCCAGAGCCUCUCACCAGCGGGGACCCUCCUUGGCGUCGAGCAUCAGCCAGGGCCUGGGAUAGAAGAUGCGCGUCAUCACAGAUGCUGCAGGGAGAGAGGACGACAGAGAAGCGAAGAGAUAAGAACUCGAGGGAAGGUUUUCUUUCAAUUAAGAAAGGCAGUGAUUCUUCCCAUCACGAGAGUCUUGCUAGGAAUAUUGUUGCGUUGGUUUGUUAAAGAGGAAAUACGGUAUCUGCAGUGUGAACGCUGCCCGGCAGUCCCUGCCCCCCCUACCCCCAUGACCUUCCCCCCCCUCGGCUCAGAACCCGCUGCAUCCUGAAGCCUCCUGUGGGGGGAGGGGGAGCUCAGAGACCUGCCACUGGGGAGUAAAGGCAGGUCCUACACUGCCACUGGGUCCUCACAGGCCUGCUGUGGGGGUGGGGGGAUGGCUUGGGGUGUCAGAUGGGGGAGGGGGGAAGGGCUGGGCCCAUUGAGGUCUCUCAUACACACCCAGUCCACACACGUGCACAUGGGCGCACACGUGUGUGCUUCUUCUGCCUCUGCUGGACUUCCAACCAGAACCUGGAGGGCUUCUUUUGCUCCAAAUUUCAAUCCUGCUUCUUUCCUUGCUUUGUAAACAGCUAAGACCUCACCUUUGAAGCAGUGUCAGGUUCAGAGCCAAAGUCAAGGGAAUCUACAGAGACGCUUCCCAUUUAGCCUCGCCCUCACACUCAUAGCCCCCCCCCAUUAUCGACACCCCCAGAGGGGUGCCUCUGUAAUAAUGGAUGAACCCAUCUUGACUCAUAAUGGCCCCAAGUCCAUUGCUGAUCACUCCUGGUGCUGGACAUUCCAUGGGUUUGGACAAAUGUCUAAUGACACCCAUCCACCACUGUGGUGUGGUGUGGUGUGGUGUGGUGUGGUGUGGUGUGGUGUGGUGUGGUGUGGUAUGGUGUGGGGCAGAGUGUAUUCGCUGCCCUGAAUAGCCUCUAUGCUCUGCCUGUUAAUCCCCAGCGCCCCCCCCCCGCCCCCGCCCCAGCCCUUGGAGACCAUGGAUUUUUUUCACUCUCUCCUUAGUUUGGCCUUUUCUAGGACAUCACCUAGUUGGGUCACAUAGCGCGUAGCCUUUUCAGAUUGAAUUCUUUCACUCGGUCCAAUGCAUUUAUGUUUCCUCUGUGUCUUUUCAUGUGGCUGUGCCCACGUGCCCCUCCCACCAGCAGUGCACCAGAGUUCCUGUGGCUCCCCAACCUCGUCAACUUUUGGCACCGUCAGUGCUCUGGAUUUGGGCCAUUCUCACAUGUGUGCUGGUGUCUCGUUGCUGUUUUAAGGUGUACGACUGGAACAUCUUCGUACGUGUGCUCGCGGGCUGUCUGUGUGUCUUCUGUGACGAGGUAUUUUUCCAGCCGUUUCAACUCACCUGCUACUGGCUGCCAUCUUCACUCACCACCAGGCAUCUUUACCCAUCAGAGGGUGGAGGGGGUCCUGACGUGCACCCGCAGUUCUCCUGGUCCAGUCUGGGGAGCAGCCAGCCUGCCCAUGCAGUCUGGGAACGCCCAGAAGCCCAGUGUCCACUACACGCUAGCUCCUCCCUCCUUUAUCUGGGGAUCCCUAGGGCCCCUGAGUGUGGCUGCCAAUUUCCAGGACAAUGAGGCGGUGGGCCCUGCACAGCACUGGCCCACAAGCGUGGGCAGGUCCCACUGUCAGGAUGUCCAGCCACUCUCCCCUCUGCCUAGUUGGACUGAGAGUCCCUGAGGUUAGAGCCUGGCUUGCUUGUCCCCAGGCCCCAGCAUCAACACAGACAGGAACUGCUGCUGCCUUGUUGGCAGACAUUGGAGGACACGUGUGCCCAGCACAGCGGGAUCGCCCGCCCUGUGGAACAGGGUGGAGGGAAGAGGCCUGGUCUCUCGGGCACUUCACCCAAUGACUGGUAACUCCCCGCCAGCUGCCCAGAGCCUGGGAUGUGGCGGGGUGGGGGUAGGGGUUCCUCUGGGGACAUGAGGGGGCCGGAUGAGGUUGGGGUCCCAUCUCACCACUCCCCAGCCCAGCUUCAGCUGGCGGGAGAUGGACCUCUUUCCCUGUAGGGCAGGGUCCCAGAUGCCUCCCUUCUGGGCUUGGAAGGGGGCUCCCCCUCCUGGGGAGGGGCGCAUGUGUGUCUGAGCACGUGGACUUUGUUUCUGAGCAGCAGAAGUGUCCCUGGCAGGGCAGCCUGGUCAGGGCUGGGGGCCCCGGGAGCUUCCCGUCUAAGGGAAUUUGCUUGUUCUCUGCCUCUUUGCUGUGAUCAAAUGCAGCAGGGGCUAUACUUUCCCUUCUGUAGCCUUCGUGGUAGGAAUACCAACUUCAGCCCAGGGGGUAGUUUGGUUACUGAACUGCUGUGUGGUCUUGGGUCAGGUGCUUAACCUCUCUGAGCCUGGGCUAAUAACACCCAUCUCCUAAGGCUGUUCUGAGAAUCCAAUGAAUUAAUAUCCGAGAAGGCAAAGUGUCCAUAACACGAGUUAUUUCUUGUUCGGGUCUGAACACCGGGCUCGCUUGCCUUGCUGGUCCCCGAUACGCACUGAGCACAGGAGACAAGGCUGGAUGCUGAGCUCUCUGCAGAUGCAGGACUGAGCUCUGCACAGUGCAGUGACGUAGGUUCUUUGGGAAUCGAAUAUCGGCACAUGUGACACAACAGGCCAUUGUGCCCAACAGGCUGGGGCAGUGCGCAUUCCUUCUGGAUGCUUCGGAGGAAAGGAGAUGGUUCCUGGUUGGACAUAAAAAGUGGAAAGCCCGUCUCUCUUCUGAUGUGGUUGCUGCUGCCUGGUGCUGCAGAGGGGCUUGGCCUGAGCAGAAGAAAGCAGGCGUUGUGUGCUGUUCGUAUAUUGAUUGACUCAUCAAAUGAUCUGCCUCAGCGGCCUGCAUGUGUUUACAGGGUGAAAAUUAAAGCCACAGAUGUUUACUGUAUAAUAGGAUUUGAAAUCUGUUCUGGGGGGCUGGGGGGAGGUGGGGCGAGCAAGCGUGGAAACCACUGGGCCAAGAAUGAGAAAAACACUUUUGCAUGAGGGAGGAUUUGGUUCAGUAAGUAACACAUGGUGCUUGCUGUCAAAUGUUAACAAGAAACACGGGCCGUCUCUCCCUUUUGGCCGGUGUUGGCUUGUGUGUCCACCUCCCGGGCUUGCGCCCGUGCCGUGUGUUGAUGGGGCACCUUCUAAAGUGGGUUCGUUUUCUAGAGAGCUGCUUCUGAAAGGGAGCACCCCGCCUGACUGUCCAUCAUGAGCGCUGAUGCCGGCCUGGGGCCACCAGCUCCCUUCCCGCGCAUCUACUGACGGCCGUGGCCGGCCCUGCGGCCAGGACAGCCCGUCCGACUGGACCUUGAAUGGGGGCGGGGGGGGGGCCUCCUGUGCCUCCCGUCUUGACUCAGGCCACGUCCCUGCUGUCUGUUGCUUGAGGCCAGAUCUCUGCUGUCACUGUUCUCUGUGACGUGAUUUCCUUUGUCUUGCCAGAGCCUCUAAGCCGCGCAACAGAGAGAGAUUUUUUCAGGGGUCAGGGCAACAGAAACCCCCCCUUUUCUCCGUGGAGUUUCCCCCACUUCCCCCUGGCCCUGCCGGCUUUAAGAGGGUCUCAAAGUGGGAAGGUCGAAGGCCACUGGUCCAGCGGUGGCCCCUGGGAGGCCCAGGAGGGAACUUCCUUCCGGGAAACCUCUCCUCCCGGGGGCUCGAGUGCCCCCACUUCGUGUGUGUUUUCUCUUUCCUUAUGUUUUUCUCUUCAACCGGCUCUGAUUGGCUUCACCGCAGAUGAGCAUUUUCCAUUACGCGUCCUAAUGUGUUUUUUUUAAACCAAAUCUCCCUUCACAGAUUGCUGUCUUUAUAAUAUAGGAAUUAUUUCUCAGUCACUUUAAAAGUCCUGCUUCAUUAGCUUGGUGACUGUUUGGUAAUUUGCAAAGUCACUUUCACAAGUUUUAAUACUGCCCGGUUGAGAAUCACAGCCAUAAAUGUAUUCGAUCUUAAUAGUGCUAUGAUUCCGUCUGAAGUGGAAAAAAAAAAAAUGAGAAUCAGUAAUUAGCUCCGACCUCCACACAAGCCUGCUCCGUGCAGGAGACGAUGCUUUUGAUGGGAGCAGAGCACCCGGUGUCGGAGGAAUCUUCUGGUGAGGCCAGGGAGCCCUUCGUCUCAGCAAAGAUGAAGCCUUGCUCACCUCUCUCUCCAGCAUCUUCAUUUCCCCUUCUCCUUAUAAUGGCUUAAAGCCCCUCCUUCCACGUAAAGCAGCUCAUGUCUAGACGCAGCCUUCCAGGGGAACACGCCGGGCAGGCGAGAUUUCUACCCGGACUCGCUUUGCAGCCCCUGGACGUAGGCUCCCGCUCCAGCUCUGUUUUUUGAGAGGCUGCUGCCCACUGGAAAGAUGUGCUGGGUGGCUUUCCUUGCUCUUUGUUGGCUUGUUUGUUUGCUUUGGCCACGCUCACGUUCCCCUCUUUCUAUGUCAAGGCCGUCUCUGAGUUGUGCAGGGAAAACCAGCAAGGCGACAGGGCAGUGGUGUCCAGCACUUGCUCCCAGGUUUCCAGGCCCCUCCAGGGGCAGGAUGCUUCCGGCCCGGGUGCCUCUUCCUUCUGCUCAAUUACCAGCAGCCCCUCACCUCCCUGGAGGCCUCGAGCUCCUUCCAGCUGCAGAGCCCGAGAUCCACCCGUUCCCGGGAGAGGGUCUGGGUGGGCUCCAGAGAGCCUGGGAGCGCCAUGCUGCUUUGUCAUGUUUCAUUUGCCCUGAUUAAUUCGGCGUCUGUAUGAGCCAGAGGGAGGGGUGCUCCCCUCCCCUAACCUUUCACAGAUGUUUCAGGCCAAGGUUUUCUGGCAAAAUCGAUUUUGACAUUUUGAUAGGAACCCACUCGCCCUGUUCUGUAUUUCGAAUCUUUGACUCUAAGCGGUUCUGAAAACCAGCUGUGAACCUAAAUCUUGUUUGUAAAAUCUGCAUACUGCAUCCGCAGCAGAAACGGUGAGAACCCCCAGGUCAUUGCAUAGACACUGGAAGCGAGUUAGGCGGUGCGGCGGUGUUGAAUCGCGGUGGUUUGUCAGACCUCCGCCGCGAGGCGGGCGGGAUGAAUGUCUGGAGCCCGCUCCCCGUCUCUUGCAGGGUUUGG
Molecule: long non-coding RNA, 5531 nt
Filed under: Sus scrofa (pig)
Lineage: Eukaryota; Metazoa; Chordata; Mammalia; Artiodactyla; Suidae
Description: lncRNA (ENSSSCG00050068604.1)
Source: RNAcentral